CUCGGCCACAUAAUUGGUCUGAU
RNAcentral lists this small nuclear RNA (23 nucleotides) under Arabidopsis thaliana (thale cress). RNAcentral describes it as "snRNA_14590". Lineage: Eukaryota; Viridiplantae; Streptophyta; Magnoliopsida; Brassicales; Brassicaceae. The record is from RNAcentral.